Molecule: ribosomal RNA, 883 nt
Filed under: uncultured bacterium
Lineage: Bacteria
Description: bacterial SSU rRNA
Rfam family: Bacterial small subunit ribosomal RNA
Source: RNAcentral
AGAGUUUGAUCCUGGCUCAGGAUGAACGCUGGCGGCGUGCCUAACACAUGCAAGUCGAACGGGAGAACAGAAGCUUGCGUUUCUUAUCGAAGGCCGACCGGGAAUGAACGACUGGAUAAUCUGCCCUGCGCGAGGGGAUAAGAGCCGGAGGACGCUGCUAAUACCGCAGAGACUGAGCUUUCUCAUGAGAGAACACGGAAAGAUUUAUCGGUGUAAGAUGAAUCCGCGUCCAAUUAGCUAGUUGGAGGGGUAACGGCCCACCAAGGCGACGAUCGGUAGCCGGCCUGAGAGGGCGACCGGCCACAUUGGGACUGACACACGGCCCAUACUCCUGCGGGAGGAAGCAGUGGGGAAUAUUGCACAAUGGGGGGAACCCUGAUGCAGCGACGCCGCGUGAGUGAAGAAGUAUUUCGGUAUGUAAAGCUCUACCAGCAGGGACGAAGGUGACGGUACCUGCAGAAGAAGCCCCGGCUAACUACGUGCCAGCAGCCGCGGUAAUACGUAGGGGGCAAGCGUUAUCCGGAUUUACUGGGUGUAAAGGGAGCGUAGACGGCAGGGCAAGCCACAAGUGAAAACGCAGAGCUUAACUUUGCGACUGCUUUUGGAACUGCCCAGCUAGAGUACAGGAGAGGUAAGUGGAAUUCCUAGUGUAGCGGUGAAAUGCGUAGAUAUUAAGAGGAACACCAGUGGGAAAAGCGGCUUACUGGACUGAGACUGACUUUGAAGCUCCAAAACCUGGGGGACCAAAAAGGAUUAAGAACCCCUGGGAAUCCACGCUGUUAAACAAUGAAUCCUAGGAGGUGGGGGGCGAAAGCCUCCGGGGGCCCCACCAAACCCCAGAAAGUAUUCCACCCUGGGGGAGGACGUUUCCCCAAGAAUGAAA